CAAAAUGGUUCACCGGUUCCAGCAAAAACUAACGUGGUGAUGGUCUUGGGGUACUCCCAAGACGAGCGCCAGAGUAUAGCGGAUCGGCUUAACUGCUAGCUUGGGAGCUUCCCAAUGACUUAUCUGGGGAUACCCAUUAGUGAUUCUAGGCUCACGGUGGCUGAACUGCGCCCCACGGUGGGGAAGCUUCAGCACCGUAUCGAGCCUUGGCAAGGUCGGUGGCUCUCCAAAGCAGCACGUACGGUGCUCAUCAACUCGUCCCUCUUCAGCUUGCUCUUGUUCAUCAUGAGCUUCUACAGCCUUCCGGAGACGCUUCAUCACGAGAUCGCCACUGUUCAGGGCCGUUUCUUCUGGGCCGGUAAGGGAGACAAGUAG
This 375-nucleotide ribosomal RNA is filed under the name Triticum aestivum (bread wheat). Its description in RNAcentral is "partial small subunit ribosomal RNA". The record is from RNAcentral. Lineage: Eukaryota; Viridiplantae; Streptophyta; Magnoliopsida; Poales; Poaceae.